UACAUAGACCUCAAGCGUUAUCCGGAUUUACUGGGCGUAAAGGGCUCGUAGGCGGCCAACUAAGUCAUACGUGAAAUCCCCUCAGCUUAACUGGGGAACUGCGUGUGAUACUGGAUGGCUUGGAUUUGGGAGAGGGAUGCGGAAUUCCAGGUGUAGCGGUGAAAUGCGUAGAUAUCGGGAGGAACACCAAUGGCGAAGGCAGCUCGCUGGGACGGUACUGACGCUGAGACGCGAAAGCGUGGGGAGCAAACAGG
RNAcentral lists this ribosomal RNA (254 nucleotides) under uncultured bacterium. Its description in RNAcentral is "partial 16S ribosomal RNA". It matches the Rfam family "Bacterial small subunit ribosomal RNA", at positions 524 to 776 of the family's 1533-position model. The record is from RNAcentral.